RNAcentral lists this long non-coding RNA (468 nucleotides) under Nicotiana benthamiana. Its description in RNAcentral is "long non-coding RNA (NBEN_LNC032729)". The record is from RNAcentral. Lineage: Eukaryota; Viridiplantae; Streptophyta; Magnoliopsida; Solanales; Solanaceae.
GUCUGAUGAGUGUUGAUCUGUAUCUGUUGGAAAUAUUGUUCCAAUGUUUCUCUCCGCAAUUGCAGCAUUCUAAAGGGGGUUUUCUCUCCUGAUUGAUGUUGAAAGAUGCAGCGUUGUUGCUGCUUGAGGAAGGAGUCUUGGAUCUGAUUGCACUUCAAUCUCCCCCACUUCUUCUAGGGAUACCAUUGCUAGGCUGGAUCCUAUUGUAACCCCCUCGGACAGACGGCUGAUGCCUAUACUUCAGAGUUUCCAAGUGAUAAUACCCUAGGCAUUCAACAGCUUGGAUCGCCUUGGGGAGGGUAUCUACCAUUUGUCUUUGCAGCUCCAUACGGGCAUGAGGUUUCAAACCUUCUGGGAAUGUGAAGAGUUUGUCUUUCUCACCCAUAUCCCGUAUGUUUAGCAUAAGCAUGGAGAAAUCCCGCACGUAAUCCCGCACUGACCUGGUCUGGCAGAGCUCCCGUAGUUCUC